CUAACGCGUAAAGGCGAGCACUCUAGACGAACUGCCGUUGACAAAACGGAGGAAGGUGGGGAUGACGUCAAAUCAUCAUGCCCCUUAUGUUCUGGGCUACACACGUGCUACAAUGGCCGGUACAGACGGACGCAAAGCCGCGAGGUGGAGCAAAUCCUAAAAAGCCGGUCUCAGUUCGGAUUGCAGGCUGCAAUUCGCCUGCAUGAAGUCGGAAUCGCUAGUAAUCGCAGGUCAGCAUACUGCGGUGAAUACGUUCCCGGGCCUU
This 265-nucleotide ribosomal RNA is filed under the name uncultured Bacillus sp. RNAcentral describes it as "partial 16S ribosomal RNA". It matches the Rfam family "Bacterial small subunit ribosomal RNA", at positions 1118 to 1382 of the family's 1533-position model. Lineage: Bacteria; Bacillati; Bacillota; Bacilli; Caryophanales; Bacillaceae. The record is from RNAcentral.